CCUACGGGAGGCAGCAGUGGGGAAUAUUGGGCAAUGGGCGCAAGCCUGACCCAGCAACGCCGCGUGAAGGAAGAAGGCUUUCGGGUUGUAAACUUCUUUUCUCAGGGACGAAGCAAGUGACGGUACCUGAGGAAUAAGCCACGGCUCACUACGUGCCAGCAGCUGCGGUAAUACGGAGGGGGCAAGCGUUAUCCGGAUUUACUGGGGGUAAAGGGCGUGUAGGCGGGACGGCAAGUCAGAUGUGAAAACCACGGGCUCAACCUGUGGCCUGCAUUUGAAACUGUAGUUCUUGAGUACUGGAGAGGCAGACGGAAUUCCUAGUGUAGCGGUGAAAUGCGUAGAUAUUAGGAGGAACACCAGUGGCGAAGGCGGUCUGCUGGACAGCAACUGACGCUGAGGCGCGAAAGCGUGGGGAGCAAACAGGAUUAGAUACCCUUGUAGUC
RNAcentral lists this ribosomal RNA (443 nucleotides) under uncultured bacterium. RNAcentral's name for it is "partial 16S ribosomal RNA". It matches the Rfam family "Bacterial small subunit ribosomal RNA", at positions 338 to 795 of the family's 1533-position model. The record is from RNAcentral.